CAGAUUCUACAGCAUCCUGACCAGAGUUGCUAUGCCCCCAUCUCUCCUGGAGCAGCACUUUUCUUGACCUCUGAUCCCAGCAGCCUCCCUAGCUCAUCUGGGGCCUUUUGGGUCUGCAGCUUCUUGCCGAUCCGUGACUUCUCUGCAUCAUCUAGAAUCUUUUGUCUUCCAGGCUGCUACCUCUGCUCUUCUCUGUGGGCAUUUCAGAGCCCACAUGUGGUCUUUCUUCCCCAAAUGCCCAAGUGAUGGGCUUCUAGAGACCACAUUUGGGUCCUGAACAUUCACCACAGCAGCAGACACCCUGGGAAGCCAAGAGAAGGCAACUAGAUCUCCGGGUCCCAAGGAGUGUGCAAACGCAUUUGCGUAGGGAUGUGGGAUCCCCGUGAGAGCUCCUGGCUUGGCUGGAGAGGCAGGACGGCAGCCCUCAAAUCCAGAGCUGAGAAUUGCUUCAGGCCCCUGCCCUGUC
This is a long non-coding RNA of Choloepus didactylus (southern two-toed sloth), 466 nucleotides long. RefSeq lists it as uncharacterized. The record is from RefSeq and is a predicted model, not a curated record. The transcript is spliced from 3 exons. Lineage: Eukaryota; Metazoa; Chordata; Mammalia; Pilosa; Megalonychidae.